RNAcentral lists this ribosomal RNA (279 nucleotides) under uncultured bacterium. Its description in RNAcentral is "partial 16S ribosomal RNA". It matches the Rfam family "Bacterial small subunit ribosomal RNA", at positions 506 to 784 of the family's 1533-position model. The record is from RNAcentral.
UGCCAGCAGCCGCGGUAAUACGAAGGUGGCAACCGUUGUUCGGAAUCACUGGGCAUAAAGAGCACGUAGGCGGGAGAUCAAGUCGGGUGUGAAAUCCCUCGGCUCAACCGAGGAACUGCGCCCGAAACUGAUUUUCUUGAGGACAGGAGGGGAGCGUGGAAUUCCUGGUGGAGCGGUGAAAUGCGUUGAUAUCAGGAGGAACACCGGCGGCGAAAGCGCAUCACUGGGUCUUUUCUGACGCUGAGGCACGAAAGCUAGGGUAGCGAACGGGAUUAGAUA